AUUAAUAAAAAAUAUAUAUAUAUUAAUAAAUAAAAAGAAAUGCAGAUCCCUUGGGCUCAAUUAUUUUUCAGACACAGCAUUAAAUGGUGCAUUUAAUUAGAGAAUGAAAUCAUUCUCCAGAUAAAGAAGAAUAUUUGAGAUAGGAUUAUGUCAGGCCACUUGCUUUUCCUCACACCUAAAUACCAUCACCGCCUCACCCUUCCACCGCCUCAUCCUUUCACCAAAGUUUAUUCAUCUAAAAAAAAAGAGACAACAGAUGAUCCAUUCCCUUCCCUAUCACUGCAACGAGCCGCAACAAAAAUUCAGGGAGAUCUUUUCUUUUGAAAUCCACGACAGACUUCGAAGGGUGCCAAAUUCCUAGAUCAAUCCUAACUGUGGAAUUGAAAUUUUCCAACUUCAAGAACCUCCCUUUUCAGCCUUGUGAACUCCACAACGUCCUACUCACGGAGGGUAUGUUCGCAAGUAAAGUCGGAACGAAAGAUUCAAGUUAAGGGAACUAAACGAUCAAGAUUACGGAGGAGAAUAAUCUCAUCACGGAGGAGGAUAAUCUUUACAGAAUCUUUAAUUAAAAAAAAUUUAAUUAGUGUUGAUUGAGGACCAAAUCAACAGGGAAAAUAUUUAAUUAGAUUAGUUUAAUUCACAGUCCAUUGUAUUUUAUUUUAAAUUGUGCAGUCCACAAUUUAUUUAUCACGGACUAGAUUAUUUAUCCCAUUUAUUCGAUCCA
Long non-coding RNA from Salvia splendens (bonfire salvia), 724 nucleotides. RefSeq lists it as uncharacterized. NCBI's taxonomy places the organism in Eukaryota, Viridiplantae, Streptophyta, Magnoliopsida, Lamiales, Lamiaceae. The record is from RefSeq and is a predicted model, not a curated record. The transcript is spliced from 3 exons.